Molecule: ribosomal RNA, 207 nt
Filed under: uncultured bacterium
Lineage: Bacteria
Description: partial 16S ribosomal RNA
Rfam family: Bacterial small subunit ribosomal RNA
Source: RNAcentral
AGCGCAGGCGGUGCGGCAAGUCUGAUGUGAAAGCCCGGGGCUCAACCCCGGUACUGCAUUGGAAACUGUCGCACUAGAGUGUCGGAGGGGUAAGUGGAAUUCCUAGUGUAGCGGUGAAAUGCGUAGAUAUUAGGAGGAACACCAGUGGCGAAGGCGGCUUACUGGACGAUAACUGACGCUGAGGCUCGAAAGCGUGGGGAGCAAACA